RNAcentral lists this ribosomal RNA (120 nucleotides) under Lepisosteus oculatus (spotted gar). The record is from RNAcentral. Lineage: Eukaryota; Metazoa; Chordata; Actinopteri; Semionotiformes; Lepisosteidae.
GCCGGCAGCCAUAUCACCCUGCAACUCACAACUGGCAACCCACUGAAGCUAAGCAGGUGUGAGCCUGGUCAGUACCUGGAUGGGAGACCUCCUGGGGAAAAACUAAGGUUGCUGCUUGAA